RNAcentral lists this long non-coding RNA (830 nucleotides) under Ornithorhynchus anatinus (platypus). RNAcentral's name for it is "lncRNA (ENSOANG00000034262.2)". Lineage: Eukaryota; Metazoa; Chordata; Mammalia; Monotremata; Ornithorhynchidae. The record is from RNAcentral.
AUCACCGCCUUCGUUACCACAGUCCCGCCAUCGUUACCACAGUGACACCAACACAAGGUUUCGGUCAGUGUCAUUGUCACUGUCGUCGUUACCAUGACCACCAACAACCUUAGUAUGGUCACCUUUGUCAUUCCCACUGUAACCGCCAGUUACCGGGAUCACCAACCGCAUCAAUACUAGCGUCACCUCCAUUUCUUCCCCGAGUCAUUUUCACGUUAUCAGGAUCGCCAACAUCAUCUUUACGGUCACUGUCUUCAUUACCACGGUGACUGUCAUCGUCACCAAGAUCACCGACAUUUUCACCGGUACUUACUGAGCUCUCGUUCUGUGCAGGAGGCCGACAGUCUUUCGAGUCGGGGACGGGGGAGAGAGGAAGGAAAAGAUCUAAGAAUGAAGAGCCCGCAGCAAAACCAGUAAAACUGGGCACAGAUACCGUCUGAGAGCAAGGAUCAAAGACACCGGCCACAAGACGGGUGUGCUGACAUGAGACUUCGGGGGUGGGCUGUGGGGUGGGGCUCGUGGGAUGUGGUGUGAACACAUCAUCCGCAUAGUGCUGUGCCCACAAGCAUUGGACUUGGUGCCAGACACGACGCGUCUCUCGGAGAGAUCAUGUCCGAAGAGAAUAUCCCACUAGAAAAAUGCAAAGCUCUUGAGGUCUGUACACAAUCCUAGUUUGGUCGGCUCAUUAAAAGAGAUGACAGAGAUAAGAGGGAUAACAGAAGACCGACCCUUAGGAAGGAAAAAAACCCUACUGUACAACUUUAUAACUCUUGAUGUGUUCUUGCAGCUAUACCGGUCCUAGCUAUAAUAAUAAUAACAAUAGUUGUGAC